GAUGAACGCUGGCGGCGUGCCUAAUACAUGCAAGUCGAGCGAACAGACGAGGAGCUUGCUCCUCUGACGUUAGCGGCGGACGUGUGAGUAACACGUGGAUCACCUACCUAUAAGACUGGGAUAACUUCGGAAAACCGGAGCUAAUACCGGAUAAUAUCUUGAACCGCAUGGUUCGAUAGUGAAAGACGGUUUUGCUGUCACUUAUAGAUGGAUCCGCGCCGCAUUAGCUAGUUGGUAAGGUAACGGCUUACCAAGGCGACGAUGCGUAGCCGACCUGAGAGGGUGGUCGGCGACCCUGGAACUGGGACACGGUCCAGACUCCUACGGGAGGCAGCAGUAGGGAAUCUUCCGCAAUGGUCGAAAGCCUGACGGAGCGACGCGGCGUGAGUGAUGAAGGUCUUCGGAUCGUAAAACUCUGUUAUUAGGUAAGAACAAAUGUGUAAGUAACUAUGCACGUCUUGACGGUACCUAAUCAGAAAGCCACGGCUAACUACGUG
This 497-nucleotide ribosomal RNA is filed under the name uncultured bacterium. RNAcentral's name for it is "partial 16S ribosomal RNA". It matches the Rfam family "Bacterial small subunit ribosomal RNA", at positions 28 to 507 of the family's 1533-position model. The record is from RNAcentral.